UACGUAGGGGGCGAGCGUUAUCCGGAAUUACUGGGCGUAAAGCGCACGCAGGCGGUUCGCCAAGUUUGGAGUGACAGUUGUCGGCUCAACCGACAAAGGACUUCAAAAACUGGUGAACUUGAGGACGAGAGAGGAACGCGGAAUUCCAGGUGUAGCGGUGAAAUGCGUAGAUAUCUGGAGGAACACCGGUGGCGAAGGCGGCGUUCUGGACUGCAACUGACACUGAGGAACGAAAGCCAGGGGAGCAAACGGG
This 253-nucleotide ribosomal RNA is filed under the name uncultured bacterium. Its description in RNAcentral is "partial 16S ribosomal RNA". It matches the Rfam family "Bacterial small subunit ribosomal RNA", at positions 524 to 776 of the family's 1533-position model. The record is from RNAcentral.